This 315-nucleotide ribosomal RNA is filed under the name uncultured bacterium. RNAcentral describes it as "bacterial SSU rRNA". It matches the Rfam family "Bacterial small subunit ribosomal RNA", at positions 28 to 334 of the family's 1533-position model. The record is from RNAcentral.
GAUGAACGCUAGCUACAGGCUUAACACAUGCAAGUCGAGGGGCAGCAUGGUCUUAGCUUGCUAAGGCCGAUGGCGACCGGCGCACGGGUGAGUAACACGUAUCCAACCUGCCGUCUACUCUUGGACAGCCUUGCGAAAGUAAGAUUAAUACCCGGCGGUCUCGGAUGGCCGCAUGACAGUCCGAGUGAAGAUUUAUCGGUAUGAGAUGGCGAUGCGUCCCAUUAGCUUGUUGGUGAGGUAACGGCUCACCAAGGCAUCGAUGGGUAGGGGUUCUGAGAGGAAGGUCCCCCACAUUGGAACUGAGACACGGUCCAA